This 253-nucleotide ribosomal RNA is filed under the name uncultured bacterium. Its description in RNAcentral is "partial 16S ribosomal RNA". It matches the Rfam family "Bacterial small subunit ribosomal RNA", at positions 524 to 776 of the family's 1533-position model. The record is from RNAcentral.
UACGUAGGGUGCAAGCGUUAAUCGGAGUUACUGGGCGUAAAGCGUGCGCAGGCGGUUUUGUAAGUCUGACGUGAAAUCCCCGGGCUCAACCUGGGAAUUGCGUUGGAGACUGCAAGGCUAGAAUCUGGCAGAGGGGGGUAGAAUUCCACGUGUAGCAGUGAAAUGCGUAGAGAUGUGGAGGAACACCGAUGGCGAAGGCAGCCCCCUGGGUCAAGAUUGACGCUCAUGCACGAAAGCGUGGGGAGCGAACAGG